GCGGAGGGCUGGGUGACCGCGGGGUGGCAACACCACGAGGAAAGUCCGGACUCCACAAGGCAACGGUGCCGGGUAACGCCCGGCCGGGGAAACCCGAGGGAAAGCGCCACAGAAAACAGACCGCCCAGAGCGUCAGAGGUUCGCUUCCGACAAUAUCAGGGUCAGGGUGAAACGGUGGGGUAAGAGCCCACCGCGGGACGGGCAACCGGACCGGCACGGCAAGCCCCACCGGGAGCAAUGCCAAAUAGGGACAGCAUAUGGGCCAGCCUUGGCCCGGCCGUUCGGGUUGGCAGCUAAAGAUCUGUUGGCAACAGCAGGUCUAGAUGAAUGGUCAUCCAGGGGGUCCGCCCCCGGACAGAAUCCGGCUUAUAGGCCCUCCGCGCAU
Molecule: non-coding RNA, 385 nt
Organism: Roseovarius albus
Lineage: Bacteria; Pseudomonadati; Pseudomonadota; Alphaproteobacteria; Rhodobacterales; Roseobacteraceae
Rfam family: Bacterial RNase P class A
About the family: Ribonuclease P (RNase P) is a ubiquitous endoribonuclease, found in archaea, bacteria and eukarya as well as chloroplasts and mitochondria. Its best characterised activity is the generation of mature 5'-ends of tRNAs by cleaving the 5'-leader elements of precursor-tRNAs.
Source: Rfam